GAUGAACGCUGGCGGCGUGCCUAAUACAUGCAAGUCGAGCGAACGGACGAGAAACUUGCUUCUCUGAUGUUAGCGGCGGACGGGUGAGUAACACGUGGAUAACCUACCUAUAAGACCGGGAUAACUUCGGGAAACCGGAGCUAAUACCGGAUGAUAUUUUGAACCGCAUGGUUCAAAAGUGAAAGACGGUCUUGCUGUCACUUAUAGAUGGAUCCGCGCUGCAUUAGCUAGUUGGUAAGGUAACGGCCUACCAAGGCAACAAUGCAUAGCCGACCUAGGAGGGGGAUGGGCCACACUGGACCUGAGACACGGUCCAGACUCCUACGGGAGGCAGCAGUAGGGAAUCUUCCGCAAUGGGCGAAGGCCUGACGGAGCAACGCCGCGUGAGUGAUGAAGGUCUUCGGAUCGUAAAACUCUGUUAUUAGGGAAGAACAUAUGUGUAAGUAACUGUGCACAUCUUGACGGUACCUAAUCAGAAAGCCACGGCUAACUACGUG
This 497-nucleotide ribosomal RNA is filed under the name uncultured bacterium. RNAcentral describes it as "partial 16S ribosomal RNA". It matches the Rfam family "Bacterial small subunit ribosomal RNA", at positions 28 to 507 of the family's 1533-position model. The record is from RNAcentral.